GUGAGGAAUAUUGGUCAAUGGACGGAAGUCUGAACCAGCCAUGCCGCGUGCAGGAAUAAGGUCCUAUGGAUUGUAAACUGCUUUUAUUCGGGAAUAAACCUCUUUACGUGUAGGGAGCUGAAGGUACCGAAGGAAUAAGCACCGGCUAACUCCGUGCCAGCAGCCGCGGUAAUACGGAGGGUGCAAGCGUUAUCCGGAAUCAUUGGGUUUAAAGGGUCCGCAGGCGGGCUAUCAAGUCAGAGGUGAAAUCCCACAGCUUAACUGUGGAACUGCCUUUGAAACUGAUGGUCUUGAAUUAAGUGGGCGUUGGCGGAAUAUGACAUGUAGCGGUGAAAUGCAUAGAUAUGUCAUAGAACACCUAUUGCGAAGGCAGCUUACUACGCAUAUAUUGACGCUGAGGCACGAAAGCGUGGGGAUCAAACAGGAUUAGAUACCCUUGUAGUCC
This 445-nucleotide ribosomal RNA is filed under the name uncultured bacterium. RNAcentral describes it as "partial 16S ribosomal RNA". It matches the Rfam family "Bacterial small subunit ribosomal RNA", at positions 354 to 796 of the family's 1533-position model. The record is from RNAcentral.